UAACGGCGAGUGAAGCGGCAAGAGCUCAAAUUUGAAAGCUGGCUCCUUCGGGGUCCGCAUUGUAAUUUGCAGAGGAUGCUUCGGGAGCGGCCCCCAUCUAAGUGCCCUGGAACGGGCCGUCAUAGAGGGUGAGAAUCCCGUCUGGGAUGGGGUGCCCGCGCCCGUGUGAAGCUCCUUCGACGAGUCGAGUUGUUUGGGAAUGCAGCUCUAAAUGGGUGGUAAAUUUCAUCUAAAGCUAAAUACUGGCCGGAGACCGAUAGCGCACAAGUAGAGUGAUCGAAAGAUGAAAAGCACUUUGAAAAGAGAGUUAAACAGCACGUGAAAUUGUUGAAAGGGAAGCGCUUGCGACCAGACUCGCCCGCAGGGUUCAGCCGGCAUUCGUGCCGGUGUACUUCCCCGCGGGCGGGCCAGCGUCGGUUUGGGCGGCCGGUCAAAGGCCCUCGGAAUGUAACGCCCCCCGGGGCGUCUUAUAGCCGAGGGUGCCAUGCGGCCAGCCCGGACCGAGGAACGCGCUUCGGCUCGGACGCUGGCAUAAUGGUCGUAAGCGA
This 548-nucleotide ribosomal RNA is filed under the name Penicillium sp. RNAcentral describes it as "LSU rRNA". It matches the Rfam family "Eukaryotic large subunit ribosomal RNA", at positions 84 to 647 of the family's 3401-position model. The record is from RNAcentral. Lineage: Eukaryota; Fungi; Ascomycota; Eurotiomycetes; Eurotiales; Aspergillaceae.